UACAGAGGGUGCAAGCGUUAAUCGGAAUUACUGGGCGUAAAGCGCGCGUAGGUGGUUCGUUAAGUUGGAUGUGAAAUCCCCGGGCUCAACCUGGGAACUGCAUUUGAUACUGAUUGGCUUGAAUCCGGGAGAGGAUAGCGGAAUUCCCAGUGUAGAGGUGAAAUUCGUAGAUAUUGGGAAGAACACCAGUGGCGAAGGCGACAUACUGGUCCGUUACUGACGCUGAGGCUCGAAAGCGUGGGGAGCAAACAGG
This 253-nucleotide ribosomal RNA is filed under the name uncultured bacterium. RNAcentral's name for it is "partial 16S ribosomal RNA". It matches the Rfam family "Bacterial small subunit ribosomal RNA", at positions 524 to 776 of the family's 1533-position model. The record is from RNAcentral.